AUCAUGCAAGGGCGCUGGAACAAGCAGAUACGACUUAUUUUCCAGUUGACCUCCCAUGUUGCAUUUCUGUUUAAAAACAGAACAUCCAAACUGCACUCCUACACACAGGUCACGACUUUUAUUUAAAAGGACUCCGGAGAAGAUGAAUAUAUUAGCGCCCUGUCGAUCUGCAUAGAAAGCACACUGUGUUGGAUUUUCUUGCGCUGUCUCACAUGACAUUAACACUCAAACAAAGACUGACCCAUUUACCUGUUUCAGUCACCCCCUUUUUUGUGUCCCCAUUUCUAAGCUAGCCCGAAGGCGCAAUGAGAAGGACAGCAGGCAACGAAACGGGCUGAGGACGACAAAGCGUGCCAAGGAAAGUAAUUGAGCGGUGAGGCCGUUGUACGCCACCAUGCUGUUCGUGUGACGCUUCCCGAGUAAAACUCACGCUCUCAAUCAGUGACUCACUUGGCAUCGCGUCGGGAGUACGUCACCUGGGAGGGACGGCGAGGACGGAGGACGGCAGAGGGUGUGAGGGGAAGAAAAUUGGAAGGAGCGACGUCUGCUGCAGUA
Long non-coding RNA from Hippocampus comes (tiger tail seahorse), 555 nucleotides. RefSeq lists it as uncharacterized. NCBI's taxonomy places the organism in Eukaryota, Metazoa, Chordata, Actinopteri, Syngnathiformes, Syngnathidae. The transcript is spliced from 3 exons. The record is from RefSeq and is a predicted model, not a curated record.